ACCCCUUUGAGCUUAAACAGUUGAAUCUCGGCUUGAAAUAAGGCGAGAUUUUAAAAAUCUUUUUUCUUGAAACCCUGAAAUUUUUGGUAAUUGUUCUUUUGCCGUAAAAAGUCAAGAUCAUUCACUUAGGGUGAGUAAGAGAUAAGUUGGGGAGAACGAAAAUGAGAAUCGGUAAGUGCCACAACUCUUGAAUAACUGAGCAAGCAUUGAAAAAAAUUAGAAAAGAGAAACAUCUGUUUUGUGAAUACGAUGUGAAAAGAAAAGAAAAAAAUAGAGAAUAG
This 281-nucleotide long non-coding RNA is filed under the name Lathyrus oleraceus (garden pea). RNAcentral describes it as "Pisum sativum (pea) long non-coding RNA (PSAT_LNC033443)". The record is from RNAcentral. Lineage: Eukaryota; Viridiplantae; Streptophyta; Magnoliopsida; Fabales; Fabaceae.